UAGCUACCAUGGUUUGGUUUUGGCUAUGGUUAUUGCCAACUUUUAAAUCUUUCUUUUACUGAUUUUUUUUUGAAGUUUGAAAGUUUUGUUUUUGUUUAUGCACUAUCUUUAAUGUGCUACUAGUGGUGUAGUCAGCACUACAUGGAUUGCGUUGUAAGGUAUUGAAGGAGGGAAGGAAGAAAGAAAGCGAAUGUAAGGUCAGCAAUGAUUUUGUGAUACUAAUGGUCCCACUUAUCCUUCACCUAUAUCAUUUUCCUUUUUGUGAUUUUGUGAUUGUAAUUCCUUCUCGAUUCCGAGAGCAUGCCACUAGGCACUAGAGUGUCUUGUGUGUUUGCAACUUUGUAUACAAAAUAAAUAAUUGUACGGUGGAUUUUUUAACUGAUGUGAACCUUAUAUUGGGUGGAAUGGUGGUGUGUUACUACAAGAAUUGUAAAGCGUUUUUAUUUGCUUUAAUAAUAUUAUUCAUUUUGAUUUUUAACUGACGGCCAGUCGGCCAUAUUGCCGAUUUAUUGCCCAAACUAUCAGAAUACCGUCACUUCUCUUCCCCACUCACUAUUUUGCCACUCACUGUUGCUCUUCUUCACCUUUCUGAUCUACACUAACUAUCGCUGCGCGCUCACCAUCGUCGUCUCUGCGCUCAGCAUCGUCCUCUCUACACUCAUCAUCGUCGAGAAGGUGAACUCGUACCCAAAUGUUCAAGGAUUUACUGUAAUAAGAAAUGGAGGUGAGGACUUCGUGCAAUCAAUGGUUGUUGUCAUGGAAUCUGUAAUCUAACAGGCCAUUCCCAUAGCAUAGGCCAAAUAGUAAACUGAAUUCCUUUGUUCAAUCUAUACCCAUCUGGAAGUAUGUCACAUUCUUUAAUCUUAUGUUGGCUAUUGACAAGCAUGUAUUCAUGAAUCUUGAUACAAGUUUCAUAUUAUAGUCACGACUAGCACACUUCUCAAUAACCUUGUCCUUAUGUGGAAUGUGAAUUUUCUGCUUGAGAUUUCUCUAUUUUUUAUUGAAUGGUCAAUUUUUUAUUGAUAGGUGAUGAGUGUCAGUUUUUCACAGGUAUGGAGAUAUGUUCUUUUUGGGUACUGUUGAUGCUAAGGGAAUUUUCUUUACUCUGUAUUUUUUGUAAGUUGUCUGGUUUUAGGCACCACUUGACAGUGGCAUGUUGCUAGUUGCAUAUUUGCUGAAAUUGAAUGUUUUUAUUCUUUGAAACAUUCUAAAGCUCUAUUUUUGAAUGAUUGGAACUGAUAUUACUAUAUUGAAGGAAAUAGGAGAAAAAGAAGGCAAGUAUUAUGCCAUACAUGACUCUAGCUUUACCUGACUUUUUAAGACUACCAUCUCUAAAGUAGUGAAAACAUAUCAACCUGGUGCAAUAGUUCUCCAGUGUGGAGCUGAUUCAUUUGCUGGAGAUCGUCCGGACUGCUUCAAUCUCUCUCUUGAUGGUGCAUAUCUCCCGGUCAUGCUGAAUGUGUCAAAUUCAUAAAGAAAUUCAAUUUGCCCUUGCUGGUCACUGGAGGUGGGGGGAUACACAAAAGAAAAUGUUGCUCGGUGUUGGGCUAUUGAAACUAGAGUUUUCCUAGAUACAGAGCUAGUGGGCACAUCUUGUUGUUGAUUGGAGAUUCGAAAUGUUUGUGAGAGCGAAGAGAAGAGGAGAGAAGAUGUUGAGAAUUAAGAGAGUUCCCACUGCUGUUUCGAAUUAUCAAAAAAGAGGAGGGGGAGAGACUACUCACCCUGUUGGAGGAUGGGUCACAGUUGCCUAAAAACUGCUGCAUUUAAGGAUAACAUUGGCUAAAGGAAUUUAAGAUGCUGAUGAUAAUGACGGAUUUCUUUGAAUGUUAUGGCUUGUAAUCACCAACAGUGAUUUUUGGGUAUUGGUGUUUAUGACGUAGGGUCUUUGAAUUUUUAUUUUUUAUGUGGUUAUUGAUAGAUAUCUUUAGAUAGUUUGUCUAUUUUUAUAUAGAAAUGUUUAUUUUGGUGAUGACAUUUUUAAAUAUGUACAUGAAAGAGUCUAACAGCGAAAACAACACAAAUAUCCAAUACAAGAAUAAUAUGGAAGCACUCACAACACAAUAUGAUAGCAACUAU
Arachis ipaensis is the source of this 2076-nucleotide non-coding RNA. NCBI's taxonomy places the organism in Eukaryota, Viridiplantae, Streptophyta, Magnoliopsida, Fabales, Fabaceae. The record is from RefSeq and is a predicted model, not a curated record.